UUGGUCACUGACGGGAGGGACCCUCUAGGACGUGGGUCCGGUUCAAUUUGGGUGAAAACCCUGAACCUCCUGCCCCAAUCCCGUGCCUCCCCUCCUCCCCCAAUCCCCGCCUUCUCUCCCUCCUUCCCAAUCCGCCGCCUCCUCCCCAAUCCGGCCUCGAUCUGGGGUGGUUCCUUCCUCUUCAAAGGAAGGGAAGGGGAGGGGAGGGGAGGCCCCAGAUCGAGCGGAGUGACUCUCAGAUCCGCUGCGGCACCGGGGCGCUGUCGUCCACCCGGUAGGAAGCAGCAGCUCGCCUCCCCUUCCUAGGUCCCCGCCACCCCUUCCUUUUUCAAUCCCUUUGGUGUGCCUGGUUUCCCUCCAUCCUGACUCUUAUUUUUCUUCCCCCUACGGGAUCUAUGAGGUUGUUGCUGGUUCUUGGGGUUCUUGGCUGCGUUUCAUCUUUACCCACCAAGGCGGUCACACAAUCGUCGCCCAAUCGAAGUACUUAGAGUACUAAAACACAACCAGGCAGCAAUGUCUGGACUACUUCCCACAAAACAGUGAUAAGUUGGUUGUUCUUUUGUGUCCACUCCCAUAGCUGUGUGACGAAGUCGAUGAAGUCAGAUGUAUAUAAUGCACGGCGGUGGCAGACCCUAGCGCGGCUUGGGCAAGGGCACAACUGGUGACAACCGUGGGUGGGUGGACAAUGGAGGCUGUUGACCAUCAGCAGGAAAACGACCCUAGCCUUUCUUUGAUGUUCUUGAUUGAGACGAUCAAGGAGGACCAGUGAUACGUACCUAGGCAAUCCCAUCUAAGGGAACUCAUCUACAGUUUUUAUACCAGUCAUUUCAUAUGGAUACUUCAAUGAGGAAGUAAUAUGUGAGUUUUUUUCACUUCCUUGGUCUUGCGAAUGAAUCAGCUGGCAUUGCUUCUUGUUCUGCAGUUGGGAUUCCAAAUGUCAAUUGGUUUGCUGUAGAGGGUGAUUACAAUAUUUUGGUGAUGGGACUUACUGAGGCCAAACCUUGAGUAUCUACUCAUUUAGUUAUAUCUUGAUUUGUCGAGAUUGCAUGGAAUUUUUAUCUCAGCGAGUAUUCUGCUAUAACCAAUGGUGUUAUCCGGAGGUCGACGAAUAAUCACAUUGAGCUACUGGAUAAAUACAAAGCUAUUUCUGCAUGUAGAAGAUUCAUGUGCCUCCAUUUACCACAGGUCCUUUCUGAAAAGCUUCGGGACGAUAUGUGCGCUAAAAAGCUCCAGCUUGUUGUUGACGCUGUUGGACUUGGUAAGCUUGAUGAAGCUGAGGUCCAUGAGAAAAAUAUUAUGCCAUCAUCCUAUACCGGUGGGCGUCGCUGCAUAACUGAAAACUUCCACGCCGCAAUGACUAUUUCCCAUGUCCAAGCCUCGCCUGAUAUAAUCACAGCCUUCACAACCUUCACGUGUAAUCCAAAGCGGCCUGAGAUGAUGGAGAGUCUUGAACCUGGGCAAAAAAUAGUCGAUAGGGCUGAUAUUACCAUUCGAGUAUAUCACAUGAAACUUCUUGCGUACCUAUAUACAGAAGAUCAGGAUCGGAAAGAUGUUUGGGACUGUAGUUCCUGUUCCACACACACGUGUCCUUGUUUGGCAGGAGAAGGAUGAUGACCGGGUGGUCACACCAACUUUCAUAAAUUCUUUUGUUUCAACUACCGGAUCAGAACUGGCCGGCAUUGCUGCUAUGCACUUACUAACACCAUGGAAACUGGACUUGCUCAGCCACCUAGGCUUAAGAGGUAUGACCUCUCUAGGCAAUGAAGUGUAGUUCCCUGUUAGCUACCAAUCCAGACUGGAAAUAUAUGCAUGAAUCAUAAAACAAAAUAGUAAUAAGAAACCCUAUGCAGUCAAUCUUCUGUUCUUAUAGCAAUUACAGUUUUGAUACCUCUGUUUCUUUGUUCAUCUUGUUGGGUUUCUGUUUCUCUUGAUAUAGGAUAUAGAUAUGUGAUUCUCAUGUGAUCCUUUUGCUGGAAACUUGCUAAUCUUACGGGUGCUGCUACUGGUGUAAAAAAUGUUUUAUUGAAAGAACUAUAGUAGCUAAUCCCAGCAUUUGUGCUACCUUUUGUUUCGUAUCAAUUGAUCCAGUAUCUUUGCCCUUUUGGCGUUGCUCUGAGCACGAUAUGUAUAGCCUUUAGAUUUCCAUUCGUGUAUGAUAUUGCAUGUACACUUUAGACAUUAUUACUGUCUAUGUGCUCAAAAGAAGCUUGUGAUCACUUGUUCUAUAAAUGUAAUCAACUGCCCUUCUACUAAUAUUUUUAAAAGAUUAUUUAUAUAUGUUUACACUGGUUAGAGAAAAUCAUGACAUUGCCAGCAGCAAUUUUUUAUUUCCAUAUGUUUCAAUCUGUCUCUAAAUAUUUUUAUGUGUACUCUUUUAAUACUUGGCUUGCUCUCGCCCUUUGUGCCAUUGGCGCAACGAGUCAUCUAGUAAUAUUAAGCAACUGACUGCAUUCAGAUUAGAACAUUACAAUAUGUACAGUAACAGAUUUAUGAUCUGUCAGAUAGACGACCCUCCUACUCUAAAAGUAGUCAAGUCAAAAUAUAGUCAAGGGAUUGCCUAUUAGUUCAUCCACAUGUAAACAAAGUGAAUUCAUUAAGAAUCUAGCAAAAAUACAUUGUAACCUCUUUUGCCAUGAUUCCUGAAGCAACACAUAUGCAUGCUGGGAGAUGAGGUCUACCAACACAUUGACAUUGAACUUAUUUCAUGCCUAAUUCGAAGGAACAAAGACAUAGAACAAUAAGAAUUCUACCCAAAAUAUAUUUAAAAAAUCUUUUCUUGAUGUGUAAUUAAUCAUAAAAUAUUAACCCAUGAAAGAAACAGGAAGGAAUCACAACUUCAAUAGUAUAAACAAUGGAAUCACCAUAGGAGUGAUAUCAAUAGGAAUUUGACUGGGGUUGAAGGGAUUUCAAAUGGGAUACACGUACAUAGUAAAAUGCUUGGCUAACACAAAAAUCCUAGCUUAUAACUGAUUAAUGUAAUAAUCUUGCAACAGCAAACCAAUAAUGACAGACAGUAACAUUAUCUUCCACUUGGAGCAGAUUCAACUCUGCUUCAUAAAAUAAAACUCAGAGCGGGCAACUUCUUGUAUGCAGCACUGAAACGUGAUCACUAAGAUACUCUUCCUGGUUUUUCAAAUUGGUUGUUUCAACACACGAAAACUAAAAAGAACAUAACUAAAUACAAGUGCAUAACAAGACUAUGAGGAUGAUGGCAUGAUGUUACUAAAACUGCAAAGAGUAAGCCAUCAUUAUAUUUUGCAACAACCAAUUAACUAUAUUAAUUAAAUGAUACGAUUGCAAAAGGAAAAGUGUUAGGAAGAUCUACCAAUACCUGAACAGUAGUUUCCUCCACAAAAAAUUCCUUUACCUCAUAGCAGAACGCUUUGACCUGCAAUUGGCUCUAUCAGUACAAGAGAAAAUUCACAGAUUGAAUGAAAUAUUUUUCGGGGAUGAGUGGAAGACCGAGAGAAACAAAGUUUGCAAAGUUGUAUGAAGGUGUUACCUUGGAGGAGGGAAUUUGACAUCAACGUGUAGAGGAGAGGGUGUCAUGACGUGUAUAUAAUCACCCAAACCAAAUCCCUUGAUGCUGCUCGUUGUAGCGCGUUUGUGCUGGUUGUGCACCUGCGAGAGGUGAGAAACAUAGGGUCGGGCUGGAUGGCAGCGGCGCCGACGUUCCACCUUGAAGGACGGAUCUGAGCAUUCCAGGUAGACAGAGAACAUGCCGUCGAGGAGGCGAAGCGACAGAGAUGGUCGGUGCCGCCAUCUGGCAAGCUGGGGGUUGCCGAUAGAAAACGAGAACGAGGGAGACGCACCACUGCUCGAGGUCGUGGUGGGCGGCGGUGCCUGGAAGGCGACGUCGCGUCCAGCCGCCCGGAUCGCCAUGACCCUCGCGUCGGCACCGUUUUCGCGACCUAGUCACCUAGGUCGACCAGCCAUGGGAACAGCCGCCAGCCGCCAGGCGAAGGGUGUGAGAGGCGUUUGGUCUUGGGAACAAAACGGUGGCUUCACGAAGGGGAUGGUGCUGCAGGCCCAUUAGGCCCAAUUUAAUCUGAGACGCCGAAAAAAGCGACAAGAGCAGCGGCCCAUGACAAUUAGCAAUCCCUAAUGGCGAACGAGGCCAGAUAAGGAGCGAUUUACAGUAAAUCUAACGAUUGAAAAUGCUCAAGAUUGAUGAUCCGAUGGCUACGGGCGCUGAUGGCCUGAGACGGCAGGAAAAGUGCCGCAGACCCCCGCCACCGCCGACUGGAUCCCGGCCGCGCCCCAAUCCGUGACGCCGCGGCCGUAUUCUCGAUAUUGCGCCUGGAUCCCGCUGCUCCAGGCCAUCCACUGUCCCGUCGUCAAUGCCUUCCCUCACCAAGCGCCUCCACAUCCCUCCUCUGCAUUCUUGGUGGCGCAAGCCGGCCCCUCGCUUCGGUGCUGGCUUUCUUUGAACGGAUCGGAUACAUGUGCGGUGGUUCCCCCGUGAGCGAUCUUGAACUUUGUCGCCUUUUGGAAAUGGAAUCCAGCAACUAGACGGCAAUAAUCAAGCAGCAGCUCACCUCCAUAUCCUACAGUGGCAGCAAGGUUUGUUGAUCCACUAAUAGACGGCAGUACCCACAAAUAAUGCAAGACCUUGUGAAAGAGAUGUUGCCCAGGUUCACUCCUGGUCAAGCUAAAGUGGUCAAGGAAAAGAACUAACUAAACAAAGGGACGGAAAUUGAUGCAACAGACACUGACUAGCUACUCAGUCGAUUUGCGGGUUACUUGUGCAUGUGAAUUUCCUGUCUUAAGCUGCAGGUUUUACAUCAAUAUAUAUAAACUUUGCAGUUGAGCGAAAUGGCAAACCGAUUGGACCAAGGGUGAAUUCUAAAUGGCUUUAUAUCGUCCUGAGGGGGAUGUAUUGAUGUGUGCACUACAUUAGUCAGAGGAAUAGAUUAACCAGGGAACCUCACCCGCAAACACUACUUGCGGGAUGCCACAAGGGUUCGGUACUACCGGAGUUACCUCAGCGAGCUGAAGAAAGCCAUGAAUGGUGGCACCAAUGUUCUUGGCUACUUUGCAUGGUCUCUCCUGUACAACUUCGACUAGAACGGCACCCUUCACAUUCCUCUAUAUUACCUCUCCCAAAAAUAACCUCCAAUGUUAGGUCGCUGGACUUGAGCGAAAAGGUUAAAUUACCUCUUUCCACGUGAGAUGACACGAAAUCACAAAUGAAGAUAAGUACAAUGCAUGCAAUGCACUUAUGUCUUUGAGAAUUCUGAAACGGCAAGGAGUCUAUUAGUCUGUACAAUGCUUAGUAGCUUAUUAGUUUAUAUGUAUUGAAGCUAAUGGGUGUCACCAAUUCAAGGGGGGCUGAACUUUGAUCAUGUUGCUGUUAGAUAAUGUUUCCAGACCAUAUGCCAGCUCAAGGAUGCCUGUUUCAGAGAAUGUGAAAACAUCCACUUGUUCAGUUCCAUUGAGCUUGAAACAACCACAAUGGUUUUAUUUUCUUGUUUCGGUUGUAUCUUCAAUCUCUGUGGUUUUAUUAAUGAAAGUGAGGAGGAAUCAGUUACAGAAGUACUGGAACUAGCAUCUACGACAUCAUAUUCACAUGAUAAUAAUGUCGAUUAGCAUGGAAUGUGUGCAUGCUAUGUUA
Long non-coding RNA from Triticum dicoccoides, 5614 nucleotides. RefSeq lists it as uncharacterized. The record is from RefSeq and is a predicted model, not a curated record. Lineage: Eukaryota; Viridiplantae; Streptophyta; Magnoliopsida; Poales; Poaceae. The transcript is spliced from 13 exons.